CAGGUGCAGCCGAGCUUGUCCCUUCUGUCCUAGCUCUCUUCACUGACCCCGAAGUCGAGGCAUCUUUCCUCUUGUGGGUCUUGAGACCCUGAGCUAGCUUCCAAGCCACGCUUGCGUCCAUAUCUGCGAUGAAAGGAAAUCAACAUGGCUUGGAGGUGAAAAAGAAAAAAAAAUGAAUGAAUGAAAUGAUGAAUCGGUACCGGCAGGAUCAAGAGGGCUCAGGCCGACGUUGAACAAAAGUUGUUCCCUCAGAAGGUCAGGG
RNAcentral lists this long non-coding RNA (262 nucleotides) under Elaeis guineensis (African oil palm). RNAcentral describes it as "long non-coding RNA (EGUI_LNC076340)". Lineage: Eukaryota; Viridiplantae; Streptophyta; Magnoliopsida; Arecales; Arecaceae. The record is from RNAcentral.